Molecule: unclassified non-coding RNA, 368 nt
Filed under: fungal sp.
Lineage: Eukaryota; Fungi
Description: partial internal transcribed spacer region
Rfam family: Eukaryotic small subunit ribosomal RNA (bases 1-46)
Source: RNAcentral
AAGUCGUAACAAGGUUUCCGUAGGUGAACCUGCGGAAGGAUCAUUAUCGAGUCUUCUCAUUCAGCUUAGCAUUGGCUGUGCAGUCUUGCACGCCAUUGCUGAGACGAAUGUUUGACUUACACACACCUGUGCACUUUGACUUGUCUGCAUCCGUUCACACGAUUUUUUUUCGUGUGUGUUUCUCUCCUUGCGAGGGAAAUUUUGGAGUGUUGCGGUGAGCUGCAAAGCUCGUAGCUCGCUCUGGGAGGCGAAAAGACAAGUCUUUUUUUUACACCAUCCUGUAUGUCUUUUGAAAAUUGUCGAUUGCUCUGUAAUGGAGUGAUCGUUUAAAUAAAUACAACUUUCAGCAACGGAUCUCUUGGCUCUCC